UGAGGAGUGGCUUCCGGAGCUAACGCGUUAAGUCGACCGCCUGGGGAGUACGGCCGCAAGGUUAAAACUCAAAUGAAUUGACGGGGGCCCGCACAAGCGGUGGAGCAUGUGGUUUAAUUCGAUGCAACGCGAAGAACCUUACCUACUCUUGACAUCCAGCGAACUUUCCAGAGAUGGAUUGGUGCCUUCGGGAACGCUGAGACAGGUGCUGCAUGGCUGUCGUCAGCUCGUGUUGUGAAAUGUUGGGUUAAGUCCCGCAACGAGCGCAACCCUUAUCCUUUGUUGCCAGCGAUUCGGUCGGGAACUCAAAGGAGACUGCCGGUGAUAAACCGGAGGAAGGUGGGGAUGACGUCAAGUCAUCAUGGCCCUUACGAGUAGGGCUACACACGUGCUACAAUGGCGCAUACAAAGAGAAGCGACCUCGCGAGAGCAAGCGGACCUCACAAAGUGCGUCGUAGUCCGGAUCGGAGUCUGCAACUCGACUCCGUGAAGUCGGAAUCGCUAGUAAUC
Molecule: ribosomal RNA, 510 nt
Filed under: uncultured bacterium
Lineage: Bacteria
Description: bacterial SSU rRNA
Rfam family: Bacterial small subunit ribosomal RNA
Source: RNAcentral